RNAcentral lists this ribosomal RNA (497 nucleotides) under uncultured bacterium. RNAcentral's name for it is "partial 16S ribosomal RNA". It matches the Rfam family "Bacterial small subunit ribosomal RNA", at positions 28 to 507 of the family's 1533-position model. The record is from RNAcentral.
GAUGAACGCUGGCGGCGUGCCUAAUACAUGCAAGUCGAGCGAACAGACGAGGCUCUUUCUCCUCUUACGUUACCGGCGGACGGGUGAGUAACACGUGGAUAACCUACCUCUCUGACUUGGAUCACUUCGAGAAACCGUAGCUAAUACCGGAUAAUAUCUUCAACCGCAUGGUUCAAUAGUGAAAUAUGGUUUUUCUGUCACUUAUAGAUCGAUCCGCGCCGCAUUAGCUAGUUGGUAAGGUAACGGCUUACCAGGUCGACGAUGCGUAGCCGACCUGAGAGGGGGAUAGGCCACACUGGAGCUGAAACACGGUCAAGACGCCUACGGGAGGCAGCAGUAGGGAAUCUUACGCAAUGGGGGAAAGCAUGACGGAGCAACGCCGAGUGAGUGAUGAAGGUCUUCGGAGCGUAAAAAUCUGUUAUGAGGGAAGAACAAAUGUGUAAGUAACUAUGCACGUCGUGACGGUACCUAAUCAGAAAGCAACGGCUAACUACGUG